RNAcentral lists this small RNA (380 nucleotides) under Spisula solidissima (Atlantic surf clam). RNAcentral describes it as "cnRNA17". The record is from RNAcentral. Lineage: Eukaryota; Metazoa; Mollusca; Bivalvia; Venerida; Mactridae.
UUGUCAUCAGUGGAUUGUAUUUCUAUGAUUAACUAUUGAACUUCUGUCUCAGUUUCAAAUGAAAACAAAUUACUCACGGAGAAUGAAUACAGAUCAUUAUGAAUGUUCACACUCCCCGAGUGUUCUUUUCUUAAGGACUUCUUUUUUCAUGACUGAUAUAUCGAUACUGGAUCAAAGGGCAUUACAGCCUCUUCGGGCAUUAAUAUGUACUCUGUGAGUUUUAUGGUAACACUGAUAGCUGUUAUUCGCUUUAUUUCAUGGGUCAGGCUGUCGAAAGCGCAAUGACCCAGGGCAUGGUGAUUUUAAUAAUGACCAACAGUGGUCAAUGCCGUCGCAUGGAUACGCCUUUAGUAUCUGAUGUCUUUUUAUCAUUAGCCAGU